GAAAAUAAAAGUUAGAAAACAUACCAUUUACUGUCGAGAGACAGUAUCCCCAUCCAUGAUCAAGGUCGUGCCUUCCGAAUCAAAAGUAAGAUUCGGAUUUGAAAUUAAUUUGGCUAUUUCCUCCGUGGACUCAGCUAAAGGCACUCUGGAAUUCCCGGAAGCUUUAAAACAACUUCCCCGGCCACGCAACUCAUUGGAAGCUUUUCAACUAUUACGCCCAUUCAAGUCUGUACCUCCAUAUCUCUCUCUAGAAAAAGGAAUUCCAUCACCUGUCCUUCCCCGAGAUAGAUUAACUAAACUAUUAUUUCCUUUCUUGUGAGAAGCGUCAUUAAAGCUAAUUGCAGAGUGCUUCCCGGGAUCCAAUACAUCAUCAGAAAUGGAAACAGGGGUCCCCCAAUAACCUUCGAAGGCAGGGUUAAAGUGUGCUUUAAUGUUGUCGAUCGGUCUAAUAAUUAAACCCUUUGAGCCUCUUUGAGAAAAUCCCAGCUAACAACAUUCUUUGAAGUCACGUCUUUUCAAGAAGAAUUUUGAUUUGAAGUUCAUGUAAUAUCAAAAUUCAAAUUAGAAUUAAAAGCAAAAUUAUCCAAGUUGAUAAUUUCAUUCGGUUUAUGCGCAGCGCAUUGCCAGGCCUCUUCUCCAAAUUUUUCCCAUUAAUUCUAGCAUAAUGUUGGCCCAAAGAGCCUUCCUUAGCCACCUUCAAAGAAGCCCAAUAACCAGACGGCCCAAAUCUAUCUUUUUUGAACCACCCGCAUCAGCCUCUUUGGAUGACCCAUUAGUCAAAAUGGGUUUGUUACUUGGACCAGCACAAGAGUCUAAAACCCCCCAAAUGAAUAUUCCCAACCCUAGCAUUUAAUCCACCAGCUCAUGCAGCAUUAAAAUCAUUAUUUUCCACCGACAAAAGAUUCUCAACAGCCAUAUCACGAUUAUUGCUAUUUUCGCUUUUAUCACCCCUUCCAUUAACGCCGAGAACCUAGAAGCCAACGGUUCCUUUUGAGAAAUUGCUCCGUUAUUCACUCCUUUGUUUACGCCUGCGUUCCUCAGACCUUGCCACGAUCUUCUCUCUACCAGCAUCCAAGGACCGAAAUCUGGCUUUGCUUCUCCAGCAGCUUCACCAACGGCCUCGACUAAGCCAUCUUUCACCAUUUCCGACAGGUGAAUAGAGGUCCGAUUCGCAAUCACCUCCAGGUAUAGAUCCUUGACAUGCCCAUAUUUCUUGCAACUAAAACAAACAGUGGGAAGAGCCUCAUACUCCACCCUCUGAACGGCACCAUCAACUAAAGCCUGAGAAAUUAGAGGCUUCUUGAGGUCUAAAUAAACAACAAGACGAUCAAAACGGCCUCUAGAUCUAUUAUCCGUCUGGAAAUCCAAUUUGGCUACCUUUCCAAUAAGUUCCCUAAUAGCCUCCACAAUUUGCCGACUAAACAAAAACCCCGGAAGACCCGGCAGCUGAAUCCAAGCCAAAACCACAUUGGGAUACGGUUGCAUGUGGUCUAAGGUUGGACGAUGAGAUAUUGCCCAAAGAUGAUCCAAGGUCCCUGUGAUAAAACAUGAUCAUAGUCAGCCCUAUUCAAAAAACAAACCAGGUAAUAACCAUUUUCAAUAUCCAUGAGAUUAAACGAAGAACUAAGUUUCCACAAGCUGAUGAUACGAUUAUGUAAAGUAUUAUAACCAAUACUUCGCCCUAAGAGUUUGAUAAUCACUGUUAGUUCCAUUUCUUUAAACAGAAUUUCUUAAACACGAAAAACUAAUGGCUGGGAUCCCAUUAACGAUAGAAGUUUGCAUGUCGUCUGCAAGUAAGUCAAGAUCUCCAUCACUCGCACUGUCUCCUCCAACGGUAGAACCAUUGUGAUCCAACAUAUUAUUAUUCGGGACUCUACCCAAAAACUUAUCUUUCCACGAAGGCUCUGAAAUCAGGUUAGGGUCAACGACCAUGUCUUCUAAAAUUUCACUAGCCCGGGUCUUAAACCUCACUUUCUUAGUGGUUUGAUCCUUAACAGAAUGAGGAUCCCCAUCAUCUCUGUUAACUAUCGCCAGCAAAGAAGGAGAGAGAUCCUUAGUCAUUUUUUCCACUUUAUUAUUGUAACUUUUUGAAAAUCAACCAAACUUGGGAAUAAAGGGAUGAACUUCAUAUAUAUUGUUUUGAGAGCAUUACGCCUUCUCUUUUUACUAUUUGGAAAUGCAAAUUGCAUUUAGUCAGCAAUAAUUCUACUAAUGCAUCAAUCAAGAAGACAAUAAUUGCAUUGAAAAAUUAGAUGAAAUCCUAGAUCCAAAUUUGAUGAGAUAUUCUUUUGGGGAGUUCUUGAAAUUUGUGAAGUUCUUUUGUCUCCCAGAAUCGUUGGGACUUUGAUCACCCACCAAAUACCCAACGGAAAAACGAUCAUAACUUUUUCCUUUUUAAUUAUAUCAAAAUUUUCAUUUCUGAUUGGAACCUUCUUUUCUUUUUCCAACAAUU
RNAcentral lists this long non-coding RNA (2452 nucleotides) under Gossypium barbadense (sea-island cotton). RNAcentral describes it as "long non-coding RNA (GBAR_LNC002691)". The record is from RNAcentral. Lineage: Eukaryota; Viridiplantae; Streptophyta; Magnoliopsida; Malvales; Malvaceae.